GAUGAACGCUGGCGGCGUGCUUAACACAUGCAAGUCGAACGAUGAAGCCCAGCUUGCUGGGUGGAUUAGUGGCGAACGGGUGAGUAACACGUGAGUAACCUGCCCUUAACUCUGGGAUAAGCCUGGGAAACUGGGUCUAAUACCGGAUAGGAGCGUCCACCGCAUGGUGGGUGUUGGAAAGAUUUAUCGGUUUUGGAUGGACUCGCGGCCUAUCAGCUUGUUGGUGAGGUAAUGGCUCACCAAGGCGACGACGGGUAGCCGGCCUGAGAGGGUGACCGGCCACACUGGGACUAAGACACGGCCCAGACUCCUACGGGAGGCAGCAGUGGGGAAUAUUGCACAAUGGCGCAAGCCUGAUGCAGCGACGCCGCGUGAGGGAUGACGGCCUUCGGGUUGUAAACCUCUUUCAGUAGGGAAGAAGCGAAAGUGACGGUACCUGCAGAAGAAGCACCGGCUAACUACGUG
RNAcentral lists this ribosomal RNA (465 nucleotides) under uncultured bacterium. RNAcentral's name for it is "partial 16S ribosomal RNA". It matches the Rfam family "Bacterial small subunit ribosomal RNA", at positions 28 to 507 of the family's 1533-position model. The record is from RNAcentral.